AGAGUUUGAUCCUGGCUCAGGACGAACGCUGGCGGCGUGCCUAACACAUGCAAGUUGAGCGGAGAUAUAUGGAGCUUGCUUUAUAUAACUUAGCAGCGAACGGGUGAGUAACACGUAGAUAAUCUAUCCUAUACUGGGGGAUAGCCCGAUGAAAGUUGGAUUAAUACCGCAUAUAGCUAUAUAGUUGCAUGAUUAUGUAGUGAAAGAUUUAUUGGUAUAGGAGGAGUCUGCGGCACAUUAGCUAGUAGGUGAGGUAAAGGCUUACCUAGGCGACGAUGUGUAGCCGGUCUGAGAGGAUGAACGGCCACAAUGGAACUGAGACACGGUCCAUACUCCUACGGGAGGCAGCAGUGGGGAAUAUUGCACAAUGGGGGAAACCCUGAUGCAGCAACGCCGCGUGAGUGAAGAAGGUUUUCGGAUUGUAAAGCUCUGUUAGCAGGGAAGAGGAAGGACGGUACCUGCAGAGGAAGCCACGGCUAACUACGUGCCAGCAGCCGCGGU
RNAcentral lists this ribosomal RNA (501 nucleotides) under uncultured bacterium. RNAcentral describes it as "bacterial SSU rRNA". It matches the Rfam family "Bacterial small subunit ribosomal RNA", at positions 8 to 521 of the family's 1533-position model. The record is from RNAcentral.